AACGAACGCUGGCGGCAGGCUUAACACAUGCAAGUCGAGCGCACCGCAAGGUGAGCGGCAGACGGGUGAGUAACGCGUGGGAAUCUACCCAACCCUACGGAAUAACCCAGGGAAACUUGGACUAAUACCGUAUACGCCCUUUUGGGGAAAGAUUUAUCGGGGAUGGAUGAGCCCGCGUUGGAUUAGCUAGUUGGUGGGGUAAAGGCCUACCAAGGCGACGAUCCAUAGCUGGUCUGAGAGGAUGAUCAGCCACAUUGGGACUGAGACACGGCCCAAACUCCUACGGGAGGCAGCAGUGGGGAAUAUUGGACAAUGGGCGCAAGCCUGAUCCAGCCAUGCCGCGUGAGUGAUGAAGGCCUUAGGGUUGUAAAGCUCUUUCAGUAGGGAAGAUAAUGACGGUACCUACAGAAGAAGCCCCGGCUAACUUCGUG
RNAcentral lists this ribosomal RNA (431 nucleotides) under uncultured bacterium. RNAcentral describes it as "partial 16S ribosomal RNA". It matches the Rfam family "Bacterial small subunit ribosomal RNA", at positions 29 to 507 of the family's 1533-position model. The record is from RNAcentral.